RNAcentral lists this ribosomal RNA (467 nucleotides) under uncultured bacterium. RNAcentral's name for it is "partial 16S ribosomal RNA". It matches the Rfam family "Bacterial small subunit ribosomal RNA", at positions 28 to 506 of the family's 1533-position model. The record is from RNAcentral.
GACGAACGCUGGCGGCGUGCUUAACACAUGCAAGUCGAACGGAAAGGCCCUGCUUUUGUGGGGUGCUCGAGUGGCGAACGGGUGAGUAACACGUGAGUAACCUGCCCUUGACUUUGGGAUAACUUCAGGAAACUGGGGCUAAUACCGGAUAGGAGCUCCUGCUGCAUGGUGGGGGUUGGAAAGUUUCGGCGGUUGGGGAUGGACUCGCGGCUUAUCAGCUUGUUGGUGGGGUAGUGGCUUACCAAGGCUUUGACGGGUAGCCGGCCUGAGAGGGUGACCGGCCCAGUGGGAGUGGGAGAAGGGCCCAGGCCCUGAGGGGGGGCAGAGGGGGGAAAUUUAGCCAAAGGGGGGGAAGCCGGAGGAAGAACCGCCGGGUGGGGGAAGGCGGCCUUCGGGUGGGAAACCGUUUUCGCCGGUGACGAAGGGGGAGGGGCGGUAAUGGUGAAAGAAGCACCGGUAAAUUACGG